This 495-nucleotide ribosomal RNA is filed under the name uncultured bacterium. Its description in RNAcentral is "partial 16S ribosomal RNA". It matches the Rfam family "Bacterial small subunit ribosomal RNA", at positions 28 to 507 of the family's 1533-position model. The record is from RNAcentral.
GACGAACGCUGGCGGCGUGCCUAAUACAUGCAAGUAGAACGCUGAAGGAGGAGCUUGCUUCUCUGGAUGAGUUGCGAACGGGUGAGUAACGCGUAGGUAACCUGCCUGGUAGCGGGGGAUAACUAUUGGAAACGAUAGCUAAUACCGCAUAAGAGUAGAUGUUGCAUGACAUUUGCUUAAAAGGUGCAAUUGCAUCACUACCAGAUGGACCUGCGUUGUAUUAGCUAGUUGGUGGGGUAACGGCUCACCAAGGCGACGAUACAUAGCCGACCUGAGAGUGUGAUCGGCCACACUGGGACUGAGACACGGCCCAGACUCCUACGGGAGGCAGCAGUAGGGAAUCUUCGGCAAUAGACGGAAGUCUGACCGAGCAACGCCGCGUGAGUGAAGAAGGUUUUCGGAUCGUAAAGCUCUGUUGUAAGAGAAGAACGAGUGUGAGAGUGGAAAGUUCACACUGUGACGGUAUCUUACCAGAAAGGGACGGCUAACUACGUG